Molecule: ribosomal RNA, 450 nt
Filed under: uncultured bacterium
Lineage: Bacteria
Description: partial 16S ribosomal RNA
Rfam family: Bacterial small subunit ribosomal RNA
Source: RNAcentral
GUGGGGAAUAUUGGACAAUGGGCGAAAGCCUGAUCCAGCCAUGCCGCGUGUGUGAAGAAGGUCUUCGGAUUGUAAAGCACUUUAAGUUGGGAGGAAGGGCAGUAAGUUAAUACCUUGCUGUUUUGACGUUACCGACAGAAUAAGCACCGGCUAACUUCGUGCCAGCAGCCGCGGUAAUACGAAGGGUGCAAGCGUUAAUCGGAAUUACUGGGCGUAAAGCUCGCGUAGGUGGUUUUGUAAGUUGGAGGUGAAAUCCCCGGGCUAGACCUGGGAACUGCCUCCAAAACUGCAUGACUAGAGUACGGUAGAGGGUAGUGGAAUUUCCUGUGUAGCGGUGAAAUGCGUAGGUAUAGGAAGGAACACCAGUGGCGAAGGCGACUACCUGGACUGAUACUGACACUGAGGUGCGAAAGCGUGGGGAGCAAACAGGAUUAGAUACCCUUGUAGUCC